CAGUCGUACCUGCGGGUAAUCAGCCUUUUGGGCAUGAUUCUGUGGAGCGUGAGGAGUUAAACGCCUUCAUGCCUGCAUAUUCGUGUACUUUGGGUGUACUUGCCUGUGUGGUUAGUUAACAUCAAUUUUGGUUAUCAUAAAAUGGUUGGAGGAAUGUAGCUUCGAUUUCGAUUGAAGUGUUAUAGCUUUCGGCAGAUGUGAUGAUCGGGAUUGAGGAUUGCAACGGAUACCCUUCGGGGCUACCUGUCUGGUCUCUGAUCGUUGCUCUGGUGCCGAAAGCGUGCUUACGGUUAUCAAAGUCGAUGGUCAAUAGGUUAGAACGGGUUAAA
Molecule: ribosomal RNA, 329 nt
Filed under: uncultured Glomeromycotina
Lineage: Eukaryota; Fungi; Glomeromycota
Description: LSU rRNA
Source: RNAcentral